Non-coding RNA from Hydra vulgaris (swiftwater hydra), 821 nucleotides. The record is from RefSeq and is a predicted model, not a curated record. NCBI's taxonomy places the organism in Eukaryota, Metazoa, Cnidaria, Hydrozoa, Anthoathecata, Hydridae.
UAAUUCUUCGAAUGAAUGCGACAACAGAAAUCUCACGUUUAUUUGUACAUCUAGUUUCAAGCAAAAACAUUUAUAUAUUGGACAUUGGAUUUAAUACUAGAAAACCCUUGUGUUUUUUAUAAUUGAAGAUCAAGUCAUAUUGGAUUGUAAAGAGAUCAAAAUGUCAAUUUUUCUAAAAAUAACCGAUCAUCGAUUGUUGAUCGACCGCUAUUUCAAGCGCUUGGAGACUGGAGUUGAAUGAGUUUUGAUUCAAAAUCGACGAGAAAGUGUAAAAGCCUCCAUAUCUUCUUGGUUCCAGAAGGUUAGAUGCUGGCGUACAAUAUCUUUAAAUAUUUAUAUAAACUUUAGCAAUUAUAUGGUCUAAUAUUAGCAGAAAGAGAAGUUGAUGAUCAGAUCAAUGUCUGGUUAGAUUCUAACAAAACAAGAAAAUGAACCAUAAUCUAUUUUUAUAUGAAAACUUAAAGUUAUGUCAGUUGCAAUUAGAAGCGUUUUAAGCAAGUACUAUCUUGAUGGACGAGGAGGUGAAACUAACCCAUUGAUGACAAAUAGUGAUUCACGCACAGUGAGCUCAGAGAUAGAAAUAAACAAAAAAUAUUUGUUUGAGAAAGUCUAUUCAAAUUGUUUUUUCAAAAAAUUAGAUAAAUUUGUAAAUAAAUAAAAAAUUGUGUUUCUAGCUCAUUUUUAAUUGAUAAUAUGUAAUUUUGAAGUUGAUUCCAAGGUUUUUGUGUAUUUAUAAAAGAAAAUUCGGUUGGUUUUUAUUCAUAUUUAUUAUUAUUAUUAAAUGAAUUUACCAACAUGAAAAUUGCUAAACCACUUAUUUA